UAAGCGGAGGAAAAGAAACCAACAGGGAUUGCCUCAGUAACGGCGAGUGAAGCGGCAACAGCUCAAAUUUGAAAUCUGGCCUUCUGGCCCGAGUUGUAAUUUGCAGAGGAUGUUUCUGGCGAGGUGCCUUCCGAGUUCCCUGGAACGGGACGCCAUAGAGGGUGAGAGCCCCGUACGGUUGGUCGCUGAGCCUCUGUGAAACUCCUUCGACGAGUCGAGUAGUUUGGGAAUGCUGCUCUAAAUGGGAGGUAUACGUCUUCUAAAGCUAAAUACCGGCUAGAGACCGAUAGCGCACAAGUAGAGUGAUCGAAAGAUGAAAAGCACUUUGAAAAGAGGGUUAAAUAGUACGUGAAAUUGUUGAAAGGGAAGCGCUCAUGACCAGACUUGGGCCGGUUGAUCAUCCGUCGUUCUCGGCGGUGCACUCUGCCGGCUCAGGCCAGCAUCAGCUUGGCCCGGGGGACAAAGGUUUCGGGAAUGUGGCUCCCCUCGGGGAGUGUUAUAGCCCGUUGCGUAAUACCCUGGGCUGGGCUGAGGUACGCGCUCCGCAAGGAUGCUGGCGUAAUGGUCAUCAGUGACCCGUCUUGAAACACGGACCAAGGAGUCGUCUUCGUAUGCGAGUGUUCGGGUGUCAAACCCCUACGCGGAAUGAAAGUGAACGUAGGAGAGAGCUUCGGCGCAUCUCCGACCGAUCCUGAUGUUCUCGGAUGGAUUUGAGUAAGAGCAUACGGGGCCGGACCCGAAAGAAGGUGAACUAUGCCUGUAUAGGGUGAAGCCAGAGGAAACUCUGGUGGAGGCUCGCAGCGGUUCUGACGUGCAAAUCGAUCGUCAAAUAUGGGCAUGGGGGCGAAAGACUAAUCGAACCUUCUAGUAGCUGGU
RNAcentral lists this ribosomal RNA (876 nucleotides) under Synnemellisia urenae. Its description in RNAcentral is "partial large subunit ribosomal RNA". It matches the Rfam family "Eukaryotic large subunit ribosomal RNA", at positions 47 to 955 of the family's 3401-position model. Lineage: Eukaryota; Fungi; Ascomycota; Sordariomycetes; Hypocreales; Bionectriaceae. The record is from RNAcentral.